Molecule: ribosomal RNA, 626 nt
Filed under: Candidatus Regiella insecticola
Lineage: Bacteria; Pseudomonadati; Pseudomonadota; Gammaproteobacteria; Enterobacterales; Enterobacteriaceae
Description: bacterial SSU rRNA
Rfam family: Bacterial small subunit ribosomal RNA
Source: RNAcentral
GUGGCGAGGCGGCCCCCUGGACAAGGACUGACGCUGAGGUGCGAAAGCGUGGGUAGCAAACAGGAUUAGAUACCCUGGUAGUCCACGCUGUAAACGAUGUCGAUUUGGAGGUUGUGACCUAGUGUUAUGGCGUCCGAAGCUAACGCGAUAAAUCGACCGCCUGGGGAGUACGGCCGCAAGGUUAAAACUCAAAUGAAUUGACGGGGGCCCGCACAAGCGGUGGAGCAUGUGGUUUAAUUCGAUGCAACGCGAAGAACCUUACCUACUCUUGACAUCCACGGAAUUUAGCAGAGAUGCUUAAGUGCCUUCGGGAGCCGUGAGACAGGUGCUGCAUGGCUGUCGUCAGCUCGUGUUGUGAAAUGUUGGGUUAAGUCCCGCAACGAGCGCAACCCUUGUCCUUUGUUGCCAGCACGUGAUGGUGGGAACUCAAAGGAGACUGCCGGUGAUAAACCGGAGGAAGGUGGGGAUGACGUCAAGUCAUCAUGGCCCUUACGAGUAGGGCUACACACGUGCUACAAUGGCGCAUACAAAGAGCGGCGAGCGUGCGAACGUAAGCGAACCUCAUAAAGUGCGUCGUAGUCCGGAUUGGAGUCUGCAACUCGACUCCACGAAGUCGGGAAUCGCAA